This 5660-nucleotide long non-coding RNA is filed under the name Homo sapiens (human). Its description in RNAcentral is "non-protein coding LINC02289:25". Lineage: Eukaryota; Metazoa; Chordata; Mammalia; Primates; Hominidae. The record is from RNAcentral.
ACAGCCAAUUGCCUGAUUGCAGAGUCUAAGGUCUCAAAAUUAAAUCUCAAACAGGAGACUGAAAAGCAAGCAGUCAAUUUGCAAAGACUUAAAUAUAAUAUUGCGGUGGGGAUGGGGCAUGUUGAGACUCAGAAAACAACACCCCAAACUGAAGGCCUCAGAAAGCAGCCUCAAAAGCAAAAGUUUUUCUCUGACCUUCUCCUGCCCUCCUGUCUCUCUAUCCCAUUCUGUCCCCAGGCCAGCCAUAGAAACUAGAAUCCCUCUUCCCCAAGGCGGGUCAGAGAAACAGAACCCCUUUUCUCCAAACCAUAAAACCUAAAAAUAAUUUUCCUUCCACCUUGCUGUGUAAAAACUGUCCAUAAAGAAAUUACCUGACUACCUUGUUUGACUAUAGCUCAUAAGAGCCCCCAUUCCAGAGAGGGUCCUGCCCCAUACCCAGAAGGAAGGAGUGCAGGCUCAGAGAGGCUGAGAAAAAUCUAGACAAACAAGGCUCGCUGGGUUUCCCCACUCAGUCUGGUAGCAUUUGAUCACAGUCUUUUUUGUCCAAUCAUAUUUCUGCCUGGCUGUCCAUACUUUCUUGGACCUAAGCACAAAAAUGAACAAUUUUCCCUGUAUCUUUGGGUCGUCUUUCUGAAGUCUCCUGUGUACACAUGUUAAAUAAAUUCGUGUGCCUUCUCUCCAAUUAAUCUGCCCCUUGUCAGAGAUUUUCAGCAAACCUCCUAAGGAUGAUGGGGAUGUUUUCCCUUGGCCCCUACAGGCAUAUAUUCUUUUUUUUUUUUUUUUAAUCUGUGUGUGUGGGGAGGUCCUUUUGAAAAUUCAAAUGAAAAAGAUGAGUCCCCUUACACUUCCAAAUUUGCAGUGGAAUUUAAAUUUAUUUAUUUAUUUUUUUGAGACAGGGUCUCACUCUGUGGCCCAGGCUGAGUGCAGUGGUGCAGUCUUGGCUCACUGCAACCUCUGCCUCCCAGGUUUAGGUGAUCCUCUCACCUCAGCCUCCCAAGUACCUGGGACCACAGGCUCAUGCCGCCAUGCCUGGCUAACUUUUUUUUUUUUUUUUAUAGAGGCGGGGUUUUGCCAUGUUACCCAGGCUGGUCUCGAACUCCUGAGCUCAAGCGAUCAAUCCUCCCUGGGCUCCCAAAGUGCUGAGAUUACAGGUGUGAGUCACUGCACUUGGCCUGCUCUCUUUUUCUUGCUUAACAUCAGAGUAGCUUUCACACAUUUUUUUAUUCAUUCUCCAACAUUGUGUUUUUAGCCUAAAGACAGUGAUGUCAAUACCUACAGUUGAGCGGAGUCGUUACAAGGCAGCUUAUGUGUCUAAAGUGUCUUGGAAAUCCUGUGCAAACAAAUGAGCAUUUUCCUCAGGUAUGAAAAAGGGUGAUUUAUUCACCCAGAACUUGGGGUUUCUUUAAGAUGUUGAGUAUCCUUUUUAAGAUUUAAAGGGCUGCUUUUUUCUAGUAAAGUCUCAUCCCAGCUGGCAUCACGGGACACGCUGAUCUGGAGCUGUUAUUGAACUGAUGGCCAUUCCCAUGCAGAACGAUGGUACGUUUGGCCUCCUGCUUUGUGGACAAGUAUAAUGGGAUAACCCACAGGAUUUACCCACAAGGUAAAUCCAAGAAAAUUCACUGCAAUGUCUUGUGCUAAUAGUUUAAUGAAAUUGAAAUUCUCCCUCCAGCAAUUUCUGACAGGGCAUGGGGAUUUUCUCCGGUGUCACCAUACUUCAGCAGGAGUGACUGUGUCAUCCAGGUGCAGGUAUUCUUGGUUGUCCUUUACCUGUUGUCUCUUCUUGUCACACAUAGCUAAGAAAGCAGAUGAUAGGUUCAUCUCUAUUACAUGGGGAAUUACCAAGUGGUUGCCUAGCAACUCACACAGCACAGUCAACAUGGUCUCUGUUGUGGAAUGUAGAGUGGUUAGCUUUCUUUUCAAGAAUGUAUUUCCAUACUUCUUUUGGGUUUCUAGAAAAGAAGGUACAUUUCCUGGAUUUGAGGUUAGUAAAAUGGACUUUUGUAUUGCUUUUCCCAGUAUUUAUUCUAUAGUAGGCCAUUAUUGUAACAAACAACAAUUAUCUGAUCAAAUCAUUAAUACAGCAAUUGUUUCACUUUCAUUCAAUUCAGUAAGCAUCUUCUAUGUGCCAUAUACCCUACUAGACACUGUAAGGAAUUAUAAGGAUGCACAAGUGUGGUCCCUGGUCUCAGGGAACCUAAAAUUUAGUGUAGAUGGUUAUAUGUUUAAUAGAUGUGUAUAACUCACUUGUUUACGCAUGCGAAACACAUAGCUAUAUAUGUAUGUAAAAUAAAGGUAUCUUUAUUUGGAAGAGUUCCUUUGUGUUUGAUCAAAGGAAUUUUUGCUUGUAUUUAGAUUACUGCCUUCAUAGCUUACAGCUGCAAUCAGUUCAAAAAGCUGUAAUCAAAAAUUGUAAUCACUUUUAAGACAUAGCUCCUAUUGGAAUCUAAGUAAUUAGCAGCUCUUAAACAGCUCUUGUUGGAAUAUGCCUCUGCCGCUGCUGAUGUUAUCAGAUAGGAUGGUGCUGCUCAGUGUCUGCACUGCAGUCUUUCUGCAUAAUUGCUGCUGUGGCAUUCACAGCUCCCUGCUUCUAUUUCACACAUUCCAGUUUAAAAGAAGCCCCUUGUCUUUCUUUGUCUACUUUGUAACCAUGCAGCUGCCUCUCUCCCCUUGAAGAGGGACUUUGGCAUGUCCCAACUCUUGCGUUAGGGAAUCCUUUGAUUACUUCAGCUAACUUCUUUUCCACUGGAAAGACAGUUGCUAGACAGAGCCUGGGACUUGACUAGCGCCUUUCCCGUGAAUUGACUCAUCUGGUGAAUUGUGGCAUCUUCAUCCUCAGGAAGGUGCCAGGACAUGGAGUGAAGUAAGUGUCCCUUGAUGCAGCUGGUGCCUAUUCGUUAGAUUCUCCUCCUGAGUGAACUGUACUGAGACUCCACUAAGGAAAGAGGAAGCUUUUGUGGAUAGUUGUGCCACAGCCCCAGAAUUCUCUUCCACCAUUUUGGCUAGCGCUCUUUAGUUUCUCUGCUUGCCUUCCCAGUCCCUGUGCAGGGCCUGCCCCUUGAUCGUUUUCUCCGCCGUCCAGUUCCCUUAGAUCCCUUGAGAAAUCAUUUGGACCUCUUGCCUUCACACAGAGCCCCUGACCUUUGCUUCCCAAUACAAUGUCAGCUAGAAGGAAGAGGACAAAGGGUAGAAGGGGACUGUGUGAGACCAAACAUUGUACAGACGUUUUCCUUAAGCUUCCUCAUUUCAUCCUCAUAACCACUUCUCCCUAGCUCUUCACAGCCCCAUUCCACACAUGAAGCUCAAAAAAGUGCUACACAGAUUGCUCUAAUGAGUACUGCCACAGUCUCCUGUCUCAAGUCAGUUUUUCACUUACGAUCAAGCUAACCAACAUUUACUGUGUACUGUGUCCCUCCCAAGGGUUAGGAGCACAGUAAAGCAUAUAUAAGGCCCAGUCUCUUCUCUUAAGGAGUUCCCAGAAUGGUUUUAUAAGUGCUAUAAGAAAGAUUUGGGAACACAAAUAGGAGAUCAGUUAGUUUAGGUAAAGGAUGGGAGAUCAGGAAGAGACACUUAGCCAUUUAGAUCUGGAAGGUUGGCUAACAAGAGAGGGCUCUCUAUUUACCUUUAAAAAUGGGCCUAGGGCUGGGUGCAGUGGCUCACGCCUGUAAUCCCAGCACUUUGGGAGGCUGAGGCGGGCGGAUCACCUGAGGUCAGGAAUUCGAGAACAGCCUGGCCAACAUGAUGAAACCCCGUCACUAAUAAAAAUACAAAAAAAAAAAAAAAGGCCGGGCGUGGUGGCUCACGCCUGUGAUCCCAGCACUUUGGGAGGCUGAGGCAGGUGGAUCACAAGGUCAGGUGUUCAAGACCAGCCUGGCCAACAUAGUGAAACCCUGUCUCUACUAAAAAAAUAAAAAUAAAAAUAAAUAAUUAGCUGGGCGUGGUAGCAGGCGCCUGUAAUCCCAGUUACUUGGGAGGCUGAGGCAGGAGAAUUGCUUGAACCUGGAAGGCGGAGGUUGCAGUGAGCUGAGAUCGCACCACUGCACUCCAGCCCGGGCAACAGCGUGAGAUUCCAUCUCAAAAAAAAAAAAAGUAGCUGGGUGCAGUGGCGCACAGCUGCAGUCCCAGCUACUCGGGAGGCUGAGGCAGGAGAAUCGCUUGAACCCAGGAGCGGGAGGUUGCAGUGAGCCGAGAUUGCGCCACUGCAGUCCAGCCUGGGUGACAGAGUGAGACUCUGUCUCAAAAAAAAAAAAGAAAAAAAAAGGCCUAGAAAAAGCUGGGUGUUGGCCAGGCAUGGUGGCACACGCCUGUAAUCUCAACACUUUGGGAUGCCGAGGCAGGCGAAUCACCUGAGGUCAGGAGUUCAAGACCAGCCUGGCCAACAUGGUGAAAGCCCAUCUCUACUAAAAAAUACAAAAAUUAGCUGGGUAUGGUUGCAGCCGCCUAUAAUCCCAGCUACUUGGGAGGCUGAGGCAGGAGAAUCGCUUGAACCCGGGAGGCGAAGGUUGCAGUGAGGUGAGAUCAAACCAUUGCACUCCGGCAUGGGCAAGAGAGCAAGACUUUGUCAAAAAAAAAAGAAAAAAAGGAAGAAGGGAAGGAAGGAAGGAAGGAAGGAAGGAAGGAAGGAAGGCGGGAAGGAAGGAAAAGCUGGAUGCAGUGGUGAAUGCCUGUAGUCUGAGACCAGGCUGGGCAACAUAGCAAGACCUCAUCUCUAAAAAUAAUAAUAAAUAAAAUAAAAAUUAAUGAUGGACCCAGAGCAGAGAUCUGUUGCCCUUUGAUGUUGGGAAAUCCUUUAUUGCUUGAAUCUAAAUCCUUUAUGCUGCAGUUUACACCGUAUUUCCUCUCGUUUCAACUUCAGUUAAAAUAGCGAAAAUCUGGCCUAAUACCCUAGUCACUCAGAGGUUUUUUAGCAAGUCAUAUCUGGCUCACUACCCUAGCAUAGAAAAGAAACUAUUUUCCUCUCACCCCAAAACCCUGCAGCUAGACUUUUCUAGCUGCUGCACUAUGAACAGUUUCUAAGAGAUUCCUCCCACUAGAGCCUUCCCUAGAAGGGUGGAGGUGGGCAGGGCAAUCAGCGAAUCGGGCGGCCUGCCCCAGAUAACUGCACUUGGAAAGAGUCUGCAUUGUAAGCAUUUCUCAUGGUGUCUUCACUGAAGACAGAAUUUUUGAAGUUAAAUGACAUAUGAAAGACAGGAAUAAAGUACAGUGUCUCACAACAUCCUGUAAGAGAUUUUUACCAGCCUAUGGGUCAUAUUAACCAAGGAGGUCAUAUUGACAUCCAGACCUAAAUUUCAUUAGCUCUGGUCUCCUACUGAAGGUCUAUAGAACUUGCUAGCCAUCCCCUCGCCCUGCUAACUCACCCUUAGUUAUUUCUGGGAGACCCCCGAACUAUCUCCCAUAGGUUCAUAGGCAAAUCCACUAUGUUCUUCCCCUUCAGCCUCCCCAUUCCUGGUCUGCUAUUCACAAGCUCCUUAAAAGGGGGUACCUCAUCAGUGUCUGUGGCCUCCAUAAGAACAUUGUUCUUGCAGUGGUCACUCCUGUUGCCCUGCUGGGAACAGCAUUCUCUCCCUUCUCUCCUGGGGCCACUCUAAGCCAGCAGGUCACCAAAGUGGAGGGUGGGAUAGGGCAGCAGGGACCUCUCACAGACUGGCUGCACUUCGUUAAGU